CUGUUUCGAUGAUUAUUAUGUAAAACUACCUAUUUAUGUUGUUCGGUUUGUCUGGGAAAACCCCAGUAUCUUUUCUUCGUUGAAGAUACUAGUAAAAGAUGAACGUGGUACUUGUUGAAACCAGACAAAUUUGUCUAUUGCCAGAUGGAACAGUUACCCUGGCUUCU
This 167-nucleotide small RNA is filed under the name Oryza sativa Japonica Group (Japanese rice). Its description in RNAcentral is "sRNA Os03g0333601". The record is from RNAcentral. Lineage: Eukaryota; Viridiplantae; Streptophyta; Magnoliopsida; Poales; Poaceae.